GAUGAACGCUAGCGGCAGGCUUAAUACAUGCAAGUCGAGGGGCAGCAUGAGUAGCAAUACUUGAUGGCGACCGGCAAACGGGUGCGGAACACGUACAGAACCUUCCUUCGAGCGGGGAAUAGCCCGGAGAAAUCCGGAUUAAUACCCCAUAGUAAAUUGAAAAGGCAUUCUUUUUAAAUUUUAAAGAUUUUACCACUUGAAGAUGGCUGUGCGCCUGAUUAGGUAGUUGGCGGGGUAACGGCCCACCAAGCCUUCGAUCAGUAACUGGUGUGAGAGCACGGACCAGUCAC
RNAcentral lists this ribosomal RNA (290 nucleotides) under uncultured bacterium. RNAcentral's name for it is "partial 16S ribosomal RNA". It matches the Rfam family "Bacterial small subunit ribosomal RNA", at positions 28 to 311 of the family's 1533-position model. The record is from RNAcentral.